Molecule: ribosomal RNA, 128 nt
Filed under: Sporosarcina sp. P26b
Lineage: Bacteria; Bacillati; Bacillota; Bacilli; Caryophanales; Caryophanaceae
Also listed under: 1 other name
Description: partial 16S ribosomal RNA
Rfam family: Bacterial small subunit ribosomal RNA
Source: RNAcentral
UAUUAUGGAGAGUUUGAUCCUGGCUCAGGACGAACGCUGGCGGCAUGCCUAAUACAUGCAAGUCGAGCGAACUGUUGGAAGCUUGCUUCCUUCAGUUAGCGGCGGACGGGUGAGUAACACGUGGGCAA